RNA transcript from Magnolia sinica, 4315 nucleotides. It is a transcript of the gene named protein BREAST CANCER SUSCEPTIBILITY 2 homolog B-like, with no coding region annotated. Lineage: Eukaryota; Viridiplantae; Streptophyta; Magnoliopsida; Magnoliales; Magnoliaceae. The record is from RefSeq and is a predicted model, not a curated record. The transcript is spliced from 23 exons.
UCAUAUUUAAUUCCAUUUUUCAUAUAUUUAUUAUCGACUCAUGCAUUGCCACCCAAAGGGAUGUUGGAUUGGUAAAAAGUCUUCAAUUCCAUAACCCAACGAAUAGGAAUGAGUUUUGUUGUAAUUGAAUGAGUAAUUCCGUAGGCAUAUAAAAUUUUUGUAGUUUUUCAUCCAAUGAUGGUUAAUGUCCUAAAAUGAUAAAAUGAUAUGGGAAAAUGGAUGGACGGCGUGGAUAAACCACAUGUAUGUGGCCCAUGCAACUCUUCGACUUCCAAUUGCAACAUCGCACCUUUCAUUCUUAUCGAAAAAGUCAAAUAAAGAUUUCUCUCAUAACUCCCUCCCUCCUUUGCGCGCCAGUCUGCAAAACCCUUUGCAAUAUAAAAAAAAGAAAAGAAAAAAAAAAGAAAGAAAAAAAAAGAGAAGCAAGCAAAGAUGGAAACGACGACAACGCCAGAGCUCCCGACGUGGACGAUAGUUUCGGAUGGCGGAAAACACUUAGAGUGGAGCUUUUCCGGCAGAGUUCCCUAUGGCACCUCAGCCCAAACCCCCCCUCAAAAUCUCAUCAAUUCCCUCCCUUCCAUGUCUAAUUUUGUGCUCCAAGAAUCUUCAAAGAUUAUUGGAGAUGUUGGGAGUGAUGAAAGGGACGUUCCGAUGUUCCGCACUGGAUGGGGAAAGUCCGUCACGGUGAAACAGUCUUCUAUUAGAAAAGCAUUGUCGGUUCUUGGAGAAGGAGAGAUCUUGGAGAGAGGAUCUUCUAAGAUUAUUGGAGAAAGCAUUGUUGAUGACAUUCCAAUCUUCAGAACUGGAUCAGGAAAAUCUGUUGCGGUGAAACAGUCUUCUAUUAGAAUGGCAUUGUCUGUUCUCGGAGGUGGAAAGAUUUUGCAGGGUGACCAAGUGCAUAAUGCUGCAGACCAUCAAUGCCACUCCUCAAAUUCACUUUUCCAGACAAGCUCUGGGAAAAUGGUAAACAUAUCGUCUGCUGGUCUCAUCAGAGCUAAGACAUUGUUGGGGUUGGAGGAGAACUACAACCCUCUUACUUCUCAAGGUCCCAGAGACACAAAGAAACAAUCAGGUACUAAUGGAUUGAGUGGAUGGGGAAAGUCGCAGUGUGUGGAGAAGAAUGCGAGUGCAAUUCUUGGAACUGCCAACAUUCAUAGUAGUGGGACCUUAGAUGCUAGUUCAUUUCCAAAAUGUCCGAUUAGCUGUCCAAGGGAUAAAUAUUCAUCUGGAAUUGGAAACCAAUCAAAGAAGGAUGUACUUGCGAAUCUUCUCAAUUCUGACACGUGCAGAUCUUCUUCAGAACAGCCUCCAGUUAAGUUCCAAACGGCAGGUGGAAGAUCUAUAUCAGUUUCUAGUGAUGCAUUGCAGCGUGCAAGGAACCUUCUUGGUGAAUCAGACUCGGGGAUAUCACCAAAUGAAGAUGAUACUUAUGAUCCACUGUUUUUGUUGCCUAGAGAAGAGAAAACUAGCAAUGACAAUUCACUGAACAAAGAGGAUGUUUCUCAUGCUUCCUUUUUGUACCAAAAUGCUACGAUGAACCAAUAUUGGGGGAACAGAUUCCCAUCCCAUAAAGGGUCAAUGUUCAACCAGAAGCAGUCAUCCUAUCUUCUGGAGGCUACUGAUUCUAGGGAUGGCAUCCUGAAACAUGUUGAUGCAAAUGGCUUGGCAUCUGAGGGCAUCUCCAGGUCAAACAGCAAUAGAGGUUAUAUGAAAAGGCCUCCUAGUGAUGACCUCUAUGCAACUCAAAUGUUAGUUGGAAAUUCUUCAGCAAAAGAUCUUGCUUCACAAACAAUUCCGGCUACAGUGCCAUCAGGUAAGCCACUGGUUGAAAUUUCAAACAGCAAGGAGACAACUUGUGCAAAUCAGAAGAGAAUUACUAGUGAAAAAAGGAGACUUGUGAAGAAAAGCUUUACUUCUCCAUUCAAAAGGCCCCGUAGUUCUAUAUUCUCCACCCCUUUGAAAAGUAGCAUGUCAUUCCCUUGCACUGGUUCAUCCGCAUUACCGACACUCGAAGGUUCCCGUUGCAAAAGAAGGGUUUCCACUCGAUAUCCGUUUCAGGUUAAGAGGCAUACUGUGAAGGAAUUUUUUGGAGGGCCACCAUGUAAAACUGACUCUCUGACCCAUUUAUCGAAUGAGAUAAAGUACAUGAAUGCGGAUAGUGCAGAAAAGUACAUAUUCCAUGCUGCAUCUGGCUUGGAUGGGAUUGGAGCAGAAGCCCUUCGGAACAUGUUGGCCCAGUGUGGAGCUUCCUUGCUACAUGCCACUAAAGAGUGGGUUGCAAACCAUUACAAAUGGAUUGUAUGGAAACUUGCAUGCCUUGAGAGAGGCUAUCCAGCUCAUGCUAGUGGCAAAUUCUUGACAGUGCCCAAUGUGCUUGAGGAAUUAAAAUGCAGGUACGAGAGAGAAGUAAAUCAUGGUCAUAGGUCUGCAGUUAAGAGAAUUUUGGAAGGCGAUGCAUCACCUGCUUCAAUGGUAGUUCUAUGCAUUUCAGCUAUUUGCUCCUACCCUGAUUCAGACCCUGAGAUAGCGGAAUGCCCUUUGGCACCAUAUGAAUAUCCUAAGAAGAUAACUGGCUGGAGUGGAGGUGGAGCUGAAAAUAAUCAUGUUGCAAAAAUAGAACUAACUGAUGGUUGGUAUUCAUUUGAUGCCCUUUUGGAUGCACCACUUACUAAGCAACUUGUUGCUGGAAAAUUGUUUGUGGGCCAGAAACUUCGGAUUUGGGGAGCAGGCUUAUGUGGCUGGGUUGCACCGGUUUCACCCCUAGAGUCAUCCAAGACAAUCAGUUUGGUUAUGCACAUAAAUGGGACAUAUCGAGCACAUUGGGCUGACCGGUUGGGAUUCUGUAAGAGCAUUGGUGCGCCAUUGGCUUUUAGGUGCAUCAAGUGUGCAGGGGGUCCAGUUCCCAGGACAUUGGUUGGGGUGACACGAAUUUAUCCUAUUCUAUACAAGGAGAGGUUAGCUAAUGGAGGUUUUGUGGUAAGAUCAGAAAGAAUGGAAGCUAGAAUGAUGCAACUAUACAACCAGAGGUGCUCUACUAUUGCAGAGGGCAUUAUGUCUCAAACUCAGGACAUAUUUGGUUCCCAUAGUAACGACGAUAGUGAUAGUGAAGGGGCAAAAAUCUUUAAGCUCCUUGAGACAGCUGCUGAGCCUGAAGUCCUAAUGGCAGAUAUGAGUUUGGAGCAACUGACUUCAUUUGCAACUUAUCAGGCAAAGCGGGAGGCAAUCAGGCAGUCAGAUAUGCAGAAGAAUGUAGAGAAAGCCCUGAAUGAUGCAGGCCUUGGUGGGAGACAGGUCACCCCCUUAAUGAGAGUAAGGGUGGUGGGCCUAACUGCUAAAUGUUCCCAAAUAAAAGGUUGUCCUAGAGAAGGCUUGAUAACAAUAUGGAACCCAACUGAAAAGCAGCAGGUCAGUCUGGUGGAGGGGCAGAUAUACUGCACUGGAGGACUAGUGCCACUGUACUCUCAUUCUAAUAUCAUCCACUUCCAAGCAAGAGGGUCUACUACAACUUGGCAACACUUACCAUCAUCAGCAGUUGAAUGUUUCAAACCAUUUUUUAAUCCUCGCAAACCAAUAUUAUUGUCAAAUUUGUGUGAAGUUCCUCUAGCCAGUGAAUUUGAUACAGCAGCUGUAAUUGUGUAUGUGGGGGAUGUUUAUUUAUCCGGAAACCAAAAGAAGCAGUGGGUGUUUGUGACAGACGGGUCUGAAUCAGGGUCUGAGUUACAGUCAGAGGGACAUUCCAUCUGUUUACUCGCUAUCUGCUUCUGCUCAUCCAUCACCGAAAAUGAUGCAUUCACACCGGUUGACCACUCUAUAUUAGGAUCCACUGCUGGCUUUUGUAAUCUGGUCAAGCAAGCAAGGGACCCAAUGAAUGAUCUUUGGGUAGCUGAGGCAACAGAAAAUUCUACCUAUUCCAUCAGUUAUGACCUUCGAGGUUUUUCUCACCUCAAGGACGCUGUAGAUACAACUCGCAAAUGGACAAAGAUGUCUUCUUUGACCAUUCAAAAGCUUAAGGAGAGGGUUCUAUGUAUUGUUGCGGGUCAUGAAAGCUAGGAUGCUAAAGGACCUAUCCAUUGACAAGUUACUGAAGAGGCGACUUGCAGCACAGGCAUAUACAGGACCUGGGCUACUCAUCGUCUGGGUACCACCAUAUUGCAUGUCCUGGCCCAAAAAUCAAGGUUCACUAAUCAGUGCCAAAGCCUGUCUCAGCAAACAAGAGCCUGCCAAACCUCUCGCCCUCAUUCAUGCUGGGAAUGGAGAUGUUUAUAUACACCAAAACUGUGUAAUGCUCAACCCGGGUUCGUUUUGUUGCGUGUAA